GCCUCAGACUGUUCAGCGAAGAAGGAGAAGGAACAGGAAAUCAGAGAGUAUAAUUAUACAGCUGAUGGGAGAUAGUGAGUUUGGUCAUGGAUGAGUUGCCUCUGCAACCUCCAGGUAAAGAUAGUUGGAUAUGGGGCUCAGGGGCGGGAGGCGGGUGUUGGUGUUUCUGAUACCAAAAAACACAGACUUCGGAGCUAUCAGCAUAAAUUUUGAAGAUGAGUUUCCUUGCAGAGAGACGUGGAAGAUUGAGCCAUUUUGUAGGAAGGGGCCGAUUUGGGCUUCCCAAACCAUUCAUGGUUUUCUUUUUUUAAAAAAAUUUUUGACAGUCUGUUGGGUUUUUCUUUUGCGGGGGGCGGGGGUGGGCUGUGCUGGGUCUUCACAGUGGCGUGUGGGGGCUUCCUGGUUGUGGAGCACAGUCUCUAAAGCAGGCGGGAUCAGUAGUUGCCAGCAGCGCAGGGGCUUGGUUGUUCCAUGGCAUGUGGGAUCUUAGUUCCCCAACCAGGGAUCAGACCCCCAUAACCUGCAUUAGGAGGUGGAUUCUUAACCGCUGGACCACCAGGGAGGUCCCAUAGUUUUCUAUUUCACUUCCUCUUUGGGCCAUUCCUGACUACACUCUUCUUCCAGCAACUUUCUCUCUUAUUUCUCCCUUUUUUCCUGUUUCAUCUUUCUGUAGGUCUUGGAAUACAUCACUCUGGGCUCUCCCGGAGCAGCUGACACAUCGCAGUAACGCUUCUCCAAAAGUCAGGGUCUGCUGAUUCCAGCGGGGACAGCAAGGCAAGCCGGGAGCAGCUGAAAUGGUCUCCUCCAACUUCGGAGACUCAGGGCAGGCGGCUGGCUUAGCGGCAGAGGCCCAGCGACUGGGCUGUCAAGUGCAGCGCCCACGAUUCCCAGACCAGAAGGUGGUUUGUUGCCUGCCUCUGGGUGAAAUUUUAUUCACCUGGUGGGGAAACUCGUUUUCUCUCCACGGAAUGCUCUGAGUGGCACGUCGCAUAUGUGUUUUAUUAAUAAAAAUGAGAAAAUGGAAUCAUUAUUACUGCAUAAUUGCAGUUCAUUUGCUAGGCCUAAUCUUUCAAAAGCCCAGGUGCUGGGGGUGGGGC
Long non-coding RNA from Bos taurus (domestic cattle), 1097 nucleotides. Lineage: Eukaryota; Metazoa; Chordata; Mammalia; Artiodactyla; Bovidae. The record is from Ensembl.